RNAcentral lists this ribosomal RNA (497 nucleotides) under uncultured bacterium. Its description in RNAcentral is "partial 16S ribosomal RNA". It matches the Rfam family "Bacterial small subunit ribosomal RNA", at positions 28 to 507 of the family's 1533-position model. The record is from RNAcentral.
GAUGAACGCUGGCGGCGUGCCUAAUACAUGCAAGUCGAGCGAACGGACGAGAAGCUUGCUUCUCUGAUGUUAGCGGCGGACGGGUGAGUAACACGUGGAUAACCUACCUAUAAGACUGGGAUAACUUCGGGAAACCGGAGCUAAUACCGGAUGAUAUUUUGAACCGCAUGGUUCAAAAGUGAAAGACGGUCUUGCUGUCACUUAUAGAUGGAUCCGCGCUGCAUUAGCUAGUUGGUAAGGUAACGGCUUACCAAGGCAACGGUGCAUAGCCGACCUGAGAGGGUGCUCGGCCACACUGGAACUGAGACAAGGUCCAGACUCCUACGGGAGGCAGCAGUAGGGAAUCUUGCGCAAUGGGCGCAGGCCUGACGGAGCAACGCCGCGUGAGUGAUGAAGGUCUUCGGAUCGUAAAACUCUGUUAUUAGGGAAGAACAUAUGUGUAAGUAACUGUGCACAUCUUGACGGUACCUAAGCAGAAAGCCACGGCUAACUACGUG